RNAcentral lists this ribosomal RNA (365 nucleotides) under Pseudo-nitzschia fraudulenta. Its description in RNAcentral is "partial Eukaryotic large subunit ribosomal RNA". It matches the Rfam family "Eukaryotic large subunit ribosomal RNA", at positions 1623 to 1987 of the family's 3401-position model. The record is from RNAcentral. Lineage: Eukaryota; Bacillariophyta; Bacillariophyceae; Bacillariales; Bacillariaceae.
ACCAGGACGUGGAUACUGUAUGGCAACGUAAGAGAAUUCGGCGACGCAGGGGGGAGCCCUGGGAAGCGUUGUCUUUUCUUGUUAACCGUCUCUUACCCUGGAAUCAGAUUGCCUGGAGAUAGGGUUAAUUGGCGGGUAAAGCACCUUGUCUUCCGAGGUGUCCGGUGCGCUCUCCACUGCCCUUGAAAAGCCGAAGGAAAGACUUAUUCACACCCCUGGUCGUACCCAUAACCGCAUCAGGUCUCCAAGGUUAGCAGCCUCUGGUCUAUAGUAAAAAGUAGGUAAGGGAAGUCGGCAAAAUAGAUCCGUAACUUCGGGAUAAGGAUUGGCUCUAAGGGUUGGGUGCGUUGGGCCUUGAGCAGAAG